RNAcentral lists this ribosomal RNA (623 nucleotides) under Bacillus subtilis. RNAcentral describes it as "bacterial SSU rRNA". It matches the Rfam family "Bacterial small subunit ribosomal RNA", at positions 56 to 662 of the family's 1533-position model. The record is from RNAcentral. Lineage: Bacteria; Bacillati; Bacillota; Bacilli; Caryophanales; Bacillaceae.
UGCAGUCGAGCGGACAGAUGGGAGCUUGCUCCCUGAUGUUAGCGGCGGACGGGUGAGUAACACGUGGGUAACCUGCCUGUAAGACUGGGAUAACUCCGGGAAACCGGGGCUAAUACCGGAUGCUUGUUUGAACCGCAUGGUUCAAACAUAAAAGGUGGCUUCGGCUACCACUUACAGAUGGACCCGCGGCGCAUUAGCUAGUUGGUGAGGUAAUGGCUCACCAAGGCGACGAUGCGUAGCCGACCUGAGAGGGUGAUCGGCCACACUGGGACUGAGACACGGCCCAGACUCUUACGGGAGGCAGCAGUAGGGAAUCUUCCGCAAUGGACGAAAGUCUGACGGAGCAACGCCGCGUGAGUGAUGAAGGUUUUCGGAUCGUAAAGCUCUGUUGUUAGGGAAGAACAAGUACCGUUCGAAUAGGGCGGUACCUUGACGGUACCUAACCAGAAAGCCACGGCUAACUACGUGCCAGCAGCCGCGGUAAUACGUAGGUGGCAAGCGUUGUCCGGAAUUAUUGGGCGUAAAGGGCUCGCAGGCGGUUUCUUAAGUCUGAUGUGAAAGCCCCCGGCUCAACCGGGGAGGGUCAUUGGAAACUGGGGAACUUGAGUGCAGAAGAGGAGAGU